UGGGGAAUAUUGCGCAAUGGGGGAAACCCUGACGCAGCGACGCCAUGUGAAGGAUGACGGCUCUAGGGUUGUAAACUUCUGUCUAGAGGGAAGAAUAAAUUGACGGUACCUCUAAAGAAAGCACCGGCUAACUCCGUGCCAGCAGCCGCGGUAAUACGGAGGGUGCAAGCGUUAUUCGGAAUUACUAGGUGUAAAGGGCGUGUAGGCGGUUUGAUAAGUUAGAUGUGAAAUUCCAUAGCUCAACUGUGGACCUGCAUCUAAAACUGUCAGACUUGAGUAUGGAAGGGGAAAACGGAAUUUCUAGUGUAGCGGUGGAAUGUGUAGAUACUAGAAGGAACAUCGAUGGCGAAAGCGGUUUUCUGGUCUAAUACUGACGCUAAGGCGCGAAAGCUAGGGGAGCAAACAGG
RNAcentral lists this ribosomal RNA (407 nucleotides) under uncultured bacterium. RNAcentral describes it as "bacterial SSU rRNA". It matches the Rfam family "Bacterial small subunit ribosomal RNA", at positions 355 to 776 of the family's 1533-position model. The record is from RNAcentral.